This 440-nucleotide ribosomal RNA is filed under the name uncultured bacterium. RNAcentral describes it as "partial 16S ribosomal RNA". It matches the Rfam family "Bacterial small subunit ribosomal RNA", at positions 338 to 795 of the family's 1533-position model. The record is from RNAcentral.
CCUACGGGAGGCUGCAGUGGGGGAUAUUGCACAAUGGGGGGAACCCUGAUGCAGCGACGUCGCGUGGGUGAAGAAGCGCCUCGGCGCGUAAAGCCCUGUCAGCAGGGAAGAAAAUGACGGUACCUGAAGAAGAAGCCCCGGCUAACUACGUGCCAGCAGCCGCUGUAAUACGGAGGGCGCAAGCGUUAUCCGGAUUUACUGGGUGUAAAGGGGGGGCAGGCGGGGAUGCAAGCCAGGAGGGAAAGCGCGGGGGCCAACCCCGGGACGGCUCUUGGAACUGCGUGGCUGGAGUGCAGGAGGGGCAGGCGGAAUUUCUGGUGUAGCGGUGAAAUGCGUAGAUAUCAGGAGGAACACCGGUGGCGAAGGCGGCCUGCUGGACUGCAACUGACGUUGAGGCCCGAAAGCGUGGGGAGCAAACAGGAUUAGAUACCCGUGUAGUC